AGUGAACGCUGGCGGUAGGCCUAACACAUGCAAGUCGAACGGCAGCACAGGAGAGCUUGCUCUCUGGGUGGCGAGUGGCGGACGGGUGAGGAAUACAUCGGAAUCUACUUUUUCGUGGGGGAUAACGUAGGGAAACUUACGCUAAUACCGCAUACGACCUACGGGUGAAAGCAGGGGAUCUUCUGACCUUGCGCGAUUGAAUGAGCCGAGGUCGGAUUAGCUAGUUGGCGGGGUAAAGGCCCGCCAAGGCGACGAUCCGUAGCUGGUCUGAGAGGAUGAUCAGCCACACUGGAACUGAGACACGGUCCAGACUCCUACGGGAGGCAGCAGUGGGGAAUAUUGGACAAUGGGCGCAAGCCUGAUCCAGCCAUACCGCGUGGGUGAAGAAGGCCUUCGGGUUGUAAAGCCCUUUUGUUGGGAAAGAAAUCCAGCUGGUUAAUACCCGGUUGGGAUGACGGUACCCAAAGAAUAAGCACCGGCUAACUUCGUGCCAGCAGCCGCGGUAA
RNAcentral lists this ribosomal RNA (506 nucleotides) under uncultured bacterium. Its description in RNAcentral is "partial 16S ribosomal RNA". It matches the Rfam family "Bacterial small subunit ribosomal RNA", at positions 29 to 523 of the family's 1533-position model. The record is from RNAcentral.